Triticum dicoccoides is the source of this 258-nucleotide long non-coding RNA. RefSeq lists it as uncharacterized. The record is from RefSeq and is a predicted model, not a curated record. Lineage: Eukaryota; Viridiplantae; Streptophyta; Magnoliopsida; Poales; Poaceae. The transcript is spliced from 3 exons.
ACCAUGCCGCCUCACCCUCUCAGAUUACUGUUUCAUCCCUUUGAUAGUUUUUUAGCACAGAGGAAUGAGGAAUGGAUACAUGAGGCAUGGCGUAAGCGUAGGGGUCAGCCAGGGCAUGACGCAAGAGUCUGCCCAUCUCCUCUCAAACACGAAAGGCACUAAUGCGUCCCGAAAACCUAGCGCACAAAGGACCAAUCCUUCCCUUCCUCGAGCCCCAUUCGAGUCCGCGCCGUUCAGCAUCUCCAGCCUCCUCUGCUC